GAUGAACGCUGGCGGCGUGCCUAAUACAUGCAAGUCGAGCGAACGGACGAGAAGCUUGCUUCUCUGAUGUUAGGGGCGGACGGGUGAGUAACACGUGGAUAACCUACCUAUAAGACUGGGAUAACUUCGGGAAACCGGAGCUAAUACCGGAUAAUAUUUUGAACCGCAUGGUUCAAAAGUGAAAGACGGUAUUGCUGUCACUUAUAGAUGGAUCCGCGCUGCAUUAGCUAGUUGGUAAGGUAACGGCUUACCAAGGCAACGAUGCAUAGCCGACCUGAGAGGGUGAUCGGCCACACUGGAACUGAGACACGGUCCAGACUCCUACGGGAGGCAGCAGUAGGGAAUCUUCCGCAAUGGGCGAAAGCCUGACGGAGCAACGCCGCGUGAGUGAUGAAGGUCUUCGGAUCGUAAAACUCUGUUAUUAGGGAAGAACAUAUGUGUAAGUAACUGUGCACAUCUUGACGGUACCUAAUCAGAAAGCCACGGCUAACUACGUG
RNAcentral lists this ribosomal RNA (497 nucleotides) under uncultured bacterium. RNAcentral's name for it is "partial 16S ribosomal RNA". It matches the Rfam family "Bacterial small subunit ribosomal RNA", at positions 28 to 507 of the family's 1533-position model. The record is from RNAcentral.